RNAcentral lists this ribosomal RNA (505 nucleotides) under uncultured bacterium. RNAcentral describes it as "bacterial SSU rRNA". It matches the Rfam family "Bacterial small subunit ribosomal RNA", at positions 28 to 526 of the family's 1533-position model. The record is from RNAcentral.
GAUGAACGCUAGCGGCAGGCCUAACACAUGCAAGUCGAGGGGUAACAGGGAAAAGCUUGCUUUUCCGCUGACGACCGGCGCACGGGUGCGUAACGCGUAUGCAACCUACCUCUUACUGGGGUAUAGCCCAGAGAAAUUUGGAUUAAUCCCCCAUAGUACCAUUUAAUCGCAUGGUUGAAUGGUUAAAGGUUACGGUAAGAGAUGGGCAUGCGUCCCAUUAGUUAGUUGGUGAGGUAAUGGCUCACCAAGACUCCGAUGGGUAGGGGUUCUGAGAGGAUGAUCCCCCACACUGGUACUGAGACACGGACCAGACUCCUACGGGAGGCAGCAGUGAGGAAUAUUGCGCAAUGGACGAAAGUCUGACGCAGCCAUGCCGCGUGCAGGAUGACGGCGCUACGCGUUGUAAACUGCUUUUAUUUACAAAGAAACCUCGGGACGUGUCCCGAGCUGACGGUAGUAUUUGAAUAAGCACCGGCUAACUCCGUGCCAGCCGCCGCCGUAACAC